GAGUUUGAUCGUGGCUCAGAACGAACGCUGGCGGCGUGGAUAAGACAUGCAAGUCGAACGGAUCUGUCGGUGUAGCAAUACAUCGGCAGGUUAGUGGCGUAAGGGUGGCGUAACACGUGGGCAACCUGCCCGGAAAUGGGGGGAUAGCCCGCCGAAAGGCGGAUUAAUACCGCAUGUGACCACCUGAAGACAUCUUCAGGACGUCAAAGCUGGGGUCAAACCUAGCGUUUCCGGAUGGGCCCGCGGCCUAUCAGCUAGUUGGUGAGGUAACGGCUCACCAAGGCGAUGACGGGUAGCUGGUCUGAGAGGACGACCAGCCACACUGGAACUGAGACACGGUCCAGACACCUACGGGUGGCAGCAGUCGAGAAUUUUUCUCAAUGGGGGCAACCCUGAAGGAGCGACGCCGCGUGGAGGAUGAAGGUCUUCGGAUUGUAAACUCCUGUCAUUGGUGAACAGGUAGUCCCGUUAACUGCGGGGUUAUUGAUAGUAGCCGAAGAGGAAGAGACGGCUAACUCUGUGCCAGCCGCCG
RNAcentral lists this ribosomal RNA (532 nucleotides) under uncultured microorganism. Its description in RNAcentral is "bacterial SSU rRNA". It matches the Rfam family "Bacterial small subunit ribosomal RNA", at positions 9 to 517 of the family's 1533-position model. The record is from RNAcentral.